Molecule: ribosomal RNA, 209 nt
Filed under: uncultured Mesotoga sp.
Lineage: Bacteria; Thermotogati; Thermotogota; Thermotogae; Kosmotogales; Kosmotogaceae
Description: partial 16S ribosomal RNA
Rfam family: Bacterial small subunit ribosomal RNA
Source: RNAcentral
GAGCGUAGGUGGCCUAACAUGUCAACUGUGAAAACCCGGAGCUCAACUCCGGACUUGCAGUUGAAACUGGUAGGCUUGAGGACGGUAGAGGAAGACGGAACUGCCAGUGUAGGGGUAAAAUCCUUAGAUAUUGGCAGGAACGCCGGUGACGAAGGUGGUUUUCUGGGCCGGUUCUGACACUGAUGCUCGAAAGCCAGGGGAGCGAACGG